Molecule: ribosomal RNA, 171 nt
Filed under: uncultured bacterium
Lineage: Bacteria
Description: partial 16S ribosomal RNA
Rfam family: Bacterial small subunit ribosomal RNA
Source: RNAcentral
ACCCUACGGGAGGCAGCAGUGGGGAAUAUUGGACAAUGGGCGCAAGCCUGAUCCAGCCAUGCCGCGUGAGUGAUGAAGGCCCUAGGGUUGUAAAGCUCUUUCACCGGUGAAGAUAAUGGCGGUAACCGGAGAAGAAGCCCCGGCUAACUUCGUGCCAGCAGCCGCGGUAAU